This 432-nucleotide long non-coding RNA is filed under the name Mustela putorius furo (domestic ferret). RNAcentral's name for it is "lncRNA (ENSMPUG00000026750.1)". Lineage: Eukaryota; Metazoa; Chordata; Mammalia; Carnivora; Mustelidae. The record is from RNAcentral.
GUCAGCCUUGAAGACCAUAAUGCCUCCAUCAUCUCAUUACUCUUGUGUUUUUUCCCCGCAGAUAACAGCCGACAGCAUGUAUCAUGCCUGAUCCACAUCGAGAGAGCAAUGAUUUGAGCGUGUCCAUCCCAUGGGGCCUGCUUGCUUUCUGAGGAGACGACACUGCGGGCUGUGUGAGAACUUUUUCAGCAAGCAGACUUUGGGGGAAGAAAUAGAACUUCAUUUGCGAAUAUAAAUAUCUUACAAAAUCGCCUCCAAGGUAGGUAAAAAUUUAAUUGCCUUAAUUUUCAGAGGUGCCUGAAAAAAAAUCACUCUAUCACCAGUUGAUGUCAGUGAUCAGGAAACCUUUUUGAGUUUGAGAUUUCCUGCCUACACUUGCCACUUAUUUUAAAAGUGUGGAAGCUGAAGUUUUGUCAUGUUUGUGAAGGAGCA